RNAcentral lists this ribosomal RNA (355 nucleotides) under uncultured bacterium. Its description in RNAcentral is "bacterial SSU rRNA". It matches the Rfam family "Bacterial small subunit ribosomal RNA", at positions 8 to 353 of the family's 1533-position model. The record is from RNAcentral.
AGAGUUUGAUCAUGGCUNACCGGAUGAACGCUAGCUACAGGCUUAACACAUGCAAGUCGAGGGGCAGCAUGAACUUAGCUUGCUAAGUUUGAUGGCGACCGGCGCACGGGUGAGUAACACGUAUCCAACCUGCCGAUGACUCGGGGAUAGCCUUUCGAAAGAAAGAUUAAUACCCGAUGGCAUAGUUCUUCCGCAUGGUAGAACUAUUAAAGAAUUUCGGUCAUCGAUGGGGAUGCGUUCCAUUAGGUUGUUGGCGGGGUAACGGCCCACCAAGCCUUCGAUGGAUAGGGGUUCUGAGAGGAAGGUCCCCCACAUUGGAACUGAGACACGGUCCAAACUCCUACGGGAGGAAGCA